GUCCCCUUCGUCUAGAGGCCUAGGACACCGCCCUUUCACGGCGGUAACAGGGGUUCGAAUCCCCUAGGGGAC
RNAcentral lists this transfer RNA (72 nucleotides) under Proteus mirabilis. RNAcentral's name for it is "tRNA-Glu". It matches the Rfam family "tRNA". Rfam says of the family: Transfer RNA (tRNA) molecules are approximately 80 nucleotides in length. Their secondary structure includes four short double-helical elements and three loops (D, anti-codon, and T loops). RNAcentral also lists the same sequence under 5 other names. The record is from RNAcentral. Lineage: Bacteria; Pseudomonadati; Pseudomonadota; Gammaproteobacteria; Enterobacterales; Morganellaceae.